RNAcentral lists this ribosomal RNA (466 nucleotides) under uncultured bacterium. RNAcentral's name for it is "partial 16S ribosomal RNA". It matches the Rfam family "Bacterial small subunit ribosomal RNA", at positions 28 to 507 of the family's 1533-position model. The record is from RNAcentral.
GAUGAACGCUGGCGGCGUGCUUAACACAUGCAAGUCGAACGGAAAGGCCACAGCUUGCUGUGGUGCUCGAGUGGCGAACGGGUGAGUAACACGUGGGUGAUCUGCCCUGUACUUCGGGAUAAGUUCAGGAAACUGGGUCUAAUACCGGAUAGGAGUUCCAGCUGGGUGGGGGGGUGGGGAGCUUUUGCGGUGUGGGAUGAGCUCGCGGCCUAUCAGCUUGUUGGUGGGGUAUUGGCCUACCAAGGCGUCGACGGGUAGCCGGCCUGAGAGGGUGUACGGCCACAUUGGGACUGAGAUACGGCCCAGACUCCUACGGGAGGCAGCAGUGGGGAAUAUUGCACAAUGGGCGGAAGCCUGAUGCAGCGACGCCGCGUGGGGGAUGACGGCCUUCGGGUUGUAAACUCCUUUCGUCUGGGACGAAGCGAAAGUGACGGUACCUGGAUAAGAAGCACCGGCUAACUACGUG